UACGAAGGGGGCUAGCGUUGCUCGGAAUCACUGGGCGUAAAGCGCACGUAGGCGGAUUGUUAAGUCGGGGGUGAAAUCCUGGAGCUCAACUCCAGAACUGCCUUUGAUACUGGCGAUCUUGAGUCCGGGAGAGGUGAGUGGAACUGCGAGUGUAGAGGUGAAAUUCGUAGAUAUUCGCAAGAACACCAGUGGCGAAGGCGGCUCACUGGCCCGGUACUGACGCUGAGGUGCGAAAGCGUGGGGAGCAAACAGGG
Molecule: ribosomal RNA, 254 nt
Filed under: uncultured bacterium
Lineage: Bacteria
Description: partial 16S ribosomal RNA
Rfam family: Bacterial small subunit ribosomal RNA
Source: RNAcentral